This 248-nucleotide ribosomal RNA is filed under the name uncultured bacterium. Its description in RNAcentral is "partial 16S ribosomal RNA". It matches the Rfam family "Bacterial small subunit ribosomal RNA", at positions 524 to 771 of the family's 1533-position model. The record is from RNAcentral.
UACGUAGGUGGCAAGCGUUGUCCGGAUUUACUGGGCGUAAAGAGCGCGCAGGCGGUCGAUCAAGUCGCGUGUGAAAGCCCCCGGCUCAACUGGGGAGGGUCACGCGAUACUGAUCGACUCGAAGGCAGGAGAGGGUAGUGGAAUUCCGGUGUAGUGGUGAAAUGCGUAGAUAUCGGGAGGAACACCAGUGGCGAAGGCGACUACCUGGCCUGUUUCUUGACGCUGAGGCGCGAAAGCUAGGGGAGCAA